Molecule: microRNA precursor, 78 nt
Filed under: Schistosoma margrebowiei
Lineage: Eukaryota; Metazoa; Platyhelminthes; Trematoda; Strigeidida; Schistosomatidae
Description: mir-3492 microRNA precursor family
Rfam family: mir-3492 microRNA precursor family
Source: Rfam by way of RNAcentral
AACUUUUUGAAUCUAUUCAGAGAUUUUAACAAAUACCAACACAUCAGCGCUGUUCAGACUUCUAAGAUAAGUAAAGUU